GACGUAGGGCGCGAGCGUUGUCCGGAUUUAUUGGGCGUAAAGAGCUCGUAGGCGGCUCGUUGCGUCAACCGUGAAAACCCGGGGCUUAACUUCGGGCUUGCGGUUGAUACGGGCGGGCUGGAGUUCGGUAGGGGAGACUGGAAUUCCUGGUGUAGCGGUGAAAUGCGUAGAUAUCGAGAGGAACACCUGAGGUGAAGACGGGUUGCUGGGCCGACACUGACGCUGAGUGCGCGAAAGCCAGGGGAGCAAACGGG
Molecule: ribosomal RNA, 254 nt
Filed under: uncultured bacterium
Lineage: Bacteria
Description: partial 16S ribosomal RNA
Rfam family: Bacterial small subunit ribosomal RNA
Source: RNAcentral